AAAACAUGAGUGACUCCAAGGAACCAAGGGUGCAGCAGCUGGACCUCCUAGUGUACAAGGUCCCCAGCUCCCUAAGUCAGGAACAAUCCGAGCAAGACACAAUCUACCAGAAUCUGACCCAGAUUAAAGCUGCAGUGGGUGAGCUCUCAGAGAAAUCCAAGCUGCAGGAGAUCUACCAAGAGCUGACCCAGCUGAAGGCUGCAGUGGGUGAGUUGCCAGAGAAAUCCAAGCUGCAGGAGAUCUACCAGGAGCUGACCCAGCUGAAGGCUGCACUUGGUGAAUUGCCAGACCAGUCCAAGCAGCAGCAAAUCUAUCAAGAACUGACCGAUUUGAAGACUGCAUUUGGUGAGUUCCUGUACAUUGGGGGUCCUCGGGCCUGAGAUGGUCUCUGUGUGAUGUGACUUUACUUGAGUUACCAACACUGGCUGAGCCUCAGUUUCCUCCCCUGUGAAAUGAGAACAAAGGGUAACUGCGAUCAUUGCACUUGGUGUUCACAGUGGGCCAGGCACACAGUAGGCACUCAGUUCAACCAAUCCGCUGCCUUCUGUUCUGAGCUCUAAAGCUGCUACUUCUCCCAGUCUGGAGGAGAUGGAGCCAGGACUCCUGGGUUCUCCUGGGGAUCAGGGAGAGUCUUGGGAAGUAGGGAGAGGAAUGGUCUCUCCCCAUUCCAAACCAUCCACCCGACAUGGACAGUCAAGGAAGGGCUCUGAUUUUCAAGGGCUUGAAGGCUGGGCAGAUACGGGAAUAUGGACAACCUAAUCUGAGCCCAGCCCUGAUCAGCCUCCCCCAACAGAACGCCUGUGCUGCCACUGUCCCAAGGACUAGACAUUCUUCCAAGGAAACUGUUACUUCAUGUCUAACUCCCAGAGGAACUGGCACGACUCUGUCACCGCCUGCCAGGAAGUGAGGGCCCAGCUCGUCAUAAUCAAAAGUGCUGAGGAGCAGGUACACCUGGUGGGGUCCUCAUCCUGGCCUGGGGCAUGGCUUCUGGCCAACUAGGGAGGAGGUGCUCAGAGAGGAUUUUGCAGAAGAGGGGCUUUGCUCUAUUAGGAAAGAUGAGAAGAGAAGGAUAUGAAUGAAGGGGUCCCAGGUACCCUUCAAGCAAAUACAAACCAGAUCUGAACACAUGUGAAUAUUUUGGGGGAAACGUCAAAUGUAAGCAAACCACCGUGGCGUGCUGCAAGUGUUUAACAACCAGCUCUCCGGAGGGAAAAUUCCUGAUGUGUUGUGUUUGCCAAUUCCCCCGGUGUAAAUAUUCCCACCGCGGCUGAUUUCAAGCUGUCGAUGUGCUGUCACUCAGUGCGGAGCUGAAAGGAGAUGUGCUGGGCCAGCAGUUAGUAAUGGGUCCAGUCUGGCUCCAGUACAUGAAACCCGGUCAGGAGUAAAUUCCUGUGGACAUGCACAGCACAUGCAAAAUAGAUAAACAUGCAGCAUUCACAGGAGCGUGUGAGGAGAGGCCAGCUGUGCAUGCAUGCCUGCAUGUCAGGACACACAUGCCAUGGGGAUACAGAUGUGAGAGGGGCUCAGACAUGAGGAGGCUCAGGACCUGGUAUAUCAGAAAACUGCAGGUUAACUUGAAAGCAGAACUUUCUGCCAAGAGACGGGGAGGUGGAACCUGGAAAAUGGGAAGCAGAGCUCCCUCCUGACUCCUCCUCUACCCUCCAGAACUUCCUACAGCUGCAGACUUUGAGGAGUAACCGCUUCUCCUGGAUGGGACUUUCAGACCUAAAUCAGGAAGGCACGUGGCAAUGGGUGGAUGGCUCACCUCUGUCACCCAGGUAGAUUCUGGGAGAAAGGGACACUGUAUCCAAUGGGGCUGGGUUCCUGCAACUCUGACUUGAGCUUUCCCUGGGGGUCCCCCCCAACCUCCCUGACCCCAUAGGACUAAGAGUCUAGGGUUUUCACUGAAUUGAGGAAGGUGGUCUUCAUACCCACCUCCAGACAGGAUGAAAGGUGCCUAGAAUUCCACCAGCAGAGCUGCAGGAGGAGCUUGCCCUGUGGGUGGGUGUGUUAAAAUACAGUGUAUUAAUAGGAAGUCUGAAGUCUAGUAAGGCCACCAGCUCAGGAGACAAUUGCCAUUUACACAAAGUGAGUAGCUUAUCCUACCCACAGGUUCCUAGAGGGUGCACAUUUCACAGCAGGGGGCCACCUGGGGAAGCACCAGGGUCUGUCAUGAGGGAAAGUCUUGGAGGGGACUGUGAGCCAGAGCCUUUAUUACGGUUUGUAUGGGAAGAAAAGGGCAAGGCCAGGCAAGCAGGCUUAAGAUGGGCAGAUAUGAAGCAUUCUGUGGGCUCUGGGGCAUAGAGGCUGCCUAGCUGCCUGACACCUGGCCUUGGGGUGAUUAGGGCAGAAGGAUAGUGGCUUGGAGUGCAAAAGCCCGAUAAGGCAGGUGGUUGGCAGUACAGACCCCAGACUGGUUGGUUUUAAAAUCACACUCUCGGCCAGGCGCAGUGGCUCAUGCCUAUAAUUCCGGCACUUUGGGAGGUCAAGGAGGGUGGAUCACGAGGUCAAGAGAUCAAAAUUAUGCUGGCCAACACGGUGAAACCCCGUCUCUACUACAAAUACAAAAAUUAGCUGGGUGUGGUGGCGUGCACCUGUAGUCCCAGCUACUCAGAAGCCUGAGGCAGGAGAAUCACUUGAGCCCAGGAGGCGGAGGUUGCAGUGAGCCAAGAUCAUGCCACUGCACUCCAGCCUGGCAACAGAGCGAGACUCUGUCUC
RNAcentral lists this small RNA (2718 nucleotides) under Pongo abelii (Sumatran orangutan). Its description in RNAcentral is "retained intron". The record is from RNAcentral. Lineage: Eukaryota; Metazoa; Chordata; Mammalia; Primates; Hominidae.